This 519-nucleotide ribosomal RNA is filed under the name uncultured Lachnospiraceae bacterium. RNAcentral's name for it is "bacterial SSU rRNA". It matches the Rfam family "Bacterial small subunit ribosomal RNA", at positions 17 to 507 of the family's 1533-position model. The record is from RNAcentral. Lineage: Bacteria; Bacillati; Bacillota; Clostridia; Lachnospirales; Lachnospiraceae.
UCCUGGCUCAGGAUGAACGCUGGCGGCGUGCUUAACACAUGCAAGUCGAACGGGGUUAUCAUUUUUGAAGCGAUUAGCUUGCUAAGAGUGGAAAAGCUGAUAACUUAGUGGCGGACGGGUGAGUAACGCGUGGGUAACCUGCCUUACACAGGGGGAUAACACUUAGAAAUAGGUGCUAAUACCGCAUAAGCGCACAGUCCCGCAUGGGACAGAGUGAAAAACAUUAGUGGUGUAAGAUGGACCCGCGUCUGAUUAGCUUGUUGGCGGGGUAACGGCCCACCAAGGCGACGAUCAGUAGCCGGCCUGAGAGGGUGGACGGCCACAUUGGGACUGAGACACGGCCCAAACUCCUACGGGAGGCAGCAGUGGGGGAUAUUGGACAAUGGGGGAAACCCUGAUCCAGCGACGCCGCGUGAGUGAAGAAGUAUUUCGGUAUGUAAAGCUCUAUCAGCAGGGAAGAAAUAGCGACCUUUGGGUCGCCAGACGGUACCUGACUAAGAAGCCCCGGCUAACUACGUG